Molecule: ribosomal RNA, 329 nt
Filed under: uncultured eukaryote
Lineage: Eukaryota
Description: partial 18S ribosomal RNA
Rfam family: Eukaryotic small subunit ribosomal RNA
Source: RNAcentral
CCCUUAGAUGUCCUGGGCCGCACGCGCGCUACACUGAGUGUCUGAGAUACGAGUCUGCCUGGUCCGGCAAGGUCUAGGUAAUCGCUAAAAGACACAUCAUGCUUGGGAUAGAUUAUUGCAAAUAUUAAUCUUGAACGAGGAAUUCCUAGUAAGCGCAAGUCAACAGCUUGCGUUGAUUACGUCCCUGCCCUUUGUACACACCGCCCGUCACUACUACUGAUUGGAUGUUUAAGCGAGGUUCUCGAACUGCUAGCGACUUAGCUUCGGUGAGGUCGCAGUGUGGGAAGUGAACCUAGCUUUGGUGUCUAGAGGAAGUAAAAGUCGUAACA